This is a long non-coding RNA of Gallus gallus (chicken), 471 nucleotides long. NCBI's taxonomy places the organism in Eukaryota, Metazoa, Chordata, Aves, Galliformes, Phasianidae. The record is from Ensembl.
GCUUGUGAUGCCUGGGAAACAUAACUAAGGAACUUUACUCUCCUGUAGAGGACGACAACAUGCCAACUUCUGCCCUGAAGAAAUGCAUUCACCAGUUUGAUGUUUCUGUUUGUUUUCAAUGCUUGCUCAAUAUGUAAAGAGAGAAAAAUAAAAACUGUUUGCAGAUCGCAAGACACUCUCUUUUCCCUUUCUGCUCAUCCCAGCUAGACAUCUCGCCUUCAGUGUUAAAGGUGUGGGCCCAUAGGUACUGCCACCCCAUUAGUCACAAAAUCAGGCCAAACCAGCUUGUAAACCAUUGAUGCUAAAAUAUCACCAGAAAAAGCCUUUUGGUAGAAAGACAAGAGAAAGAAGAACAGAAGCAGAAGCUCAGGAGAUCUAUGCAGGUCACUCUGAAAUGCCUGACCACCCUUUCAGAGAAGUAGUAUUUCCUAACGUCCAGCCUGAACCUUCCCUGACGCAGCUUGAAGCCAU